GAUGAACGCUGGCGGCGUGCCUAAUACAUGCAAGUCGAGCGAACAGAUGAGGAGCUUGCUCCUUUGACGUUAGCGGCGGACGGGUGAGUAACACGUAGGUAACCUACCUAUAAGACUGGGAUAACUUCGGGAAACCGGAGCUAAUACCGGAUAAUAUUUCGAACUGCAUGGUUCGAUAGUGAAAGAUGGCUUUGCUAUCACUUAUAGAUGGACCUGCGCCGUAUUAGCUAGUUGGUAAGGUAACGGCUUACCAAGGCAACGAUACGUAGCCGACCUGAGAGGGUGAUCGGCCACACUGGAACUGAGACACGGUCCAGACUCCUACGGGAGGCAGCAGUAGGGACUCUUCCGCAAUGGGCGAAAGCCUGACGGAGCAACGCCGCGUGAGUGAUGAAGGUCUUCGGAUCGUAAAACUCUGUUAUUAGGGAAGAACAAACGUGUAAGUAACUGUGCACGUCUUGACGGUACCUAAUCAGAAAGCCACGGCUAACUACGUG
RNAcentral lists this ribosomal RNA (497 nucleotides) under uncultured bacterium. RNAcentral's name for it is "partial 16S ribosomal RNA". It matches the Rfam family "Bacterial small subunit ribosomal RNA", at positions 28 to 507 of the family's 1533-position model. The record is from RNAcentral.